RNAcentral lists this ribosomal RNA (492 nucleotides) under uncultured bacterium. RNAcentral describes it as "partial 16S ribosomal RNA". It matches the Rfam family "Bacterial small subunit ribosomal RNA", at positions 29 to 507 of the family's 1533-position model. The record is from RNAcentral.
AGUGAACGCUGGCGGUAGGCCUAACACAUGCAAGUCGAACGGCAGCACAGUAAGAGCUUGCUCUUACGGGUGGCGAGUGGCGGACGGGUGAGGAAUACAUCGGACUCUACUUUUUCGUGGGGGAUAACGUAGGGAAACUUACGCUAAUACCGCAUACGACCUACGGGUGAAAGCAGGGGAUCUUCGGACCUUGCGCGAUUGAAUGAGCCGAUGUCGGAUUAGCUAGUUGGCGGGGUAAAGGCCCACCAAGGCGACGAUCCGUAGCUGGUCUGAGAGGAUGAUCAGCCACACUGGAACUGAGACACGGUCCAGACUCCUACGGGAGGCAGCAGUGGGGAAUAUUGGACAAUGGGCGCAAGCCUGAUCCAGCCAUACCGCGUGGGUGAAGAAGGCCUUCGGGUUGUAAAGCCCUUUUGUUGGGAAAGAAAAGCAGCAGGUUAAUACCCCGCUGUUCUGACGGUACCCAACGAAUAAGCACCGGCUAACUUCGUG